CUACGGGCUGCUCCAGUGAGGAAUAUUGCACAAUGGGGGGAACCCUGAUGCAGCAACGCCGCGUGGAGGAUGACGCAUUUCGGUGUGUAAACUCCUUUUAUAUGUCAAGAAAAUGACGGUAGCAUAUGAAUAAGCACCGGCUAACUCCGUGCCAGCAGCCGCGGUAAUACGGAGGGUGCAAGCGUUACUCGGAAUCACUGGGCGUAAAGGACGCGUAGGCGGGUUGGAAAGUCAGGUGUGAAAUCCUACAGCUUAACUGUAGAACUGCACUUGAAACUUCCAAUCUAGAGUAUGGGAGGGGGAGAUGGAAUUAGUGGUGUAGGGGUAAAAUCCGUAGAUAUCACUAGGAAUACCUAAAGCGAAGGCGAUCUCCUGGAACAUUACUGACGCUAAGGCGUGAAAGCGUGGGGAGCAAACAGGAUUAGUACCCCCGUAAUC
Molecule: ribosomal RNA, 438 nt
Filed under: uncultured bacterium
Lineage: Bacteria
Description: partial 16S ribosomal RNA
Rfam family: Bacterial small subunit ribosomal RNA
Source: RNAcentral